UGUGGCUCUAUGGUAGAGCACUUGCCUCGCAUGUAUGAGGCCCUGCGUUCGAUUCUCAGCA
This 61-nucleotide transfer RNA is filed under the name Ictidomys tridecemlineatus (thirteen-lined ground squirrel). RNAcentral describes it as "Spermophilus tridecemlineatus (thirteen-lined ground squirrel) tRNA". It matches the Rfam family "tRNA", at positions 6 to 65 of the family's 71-position model. From Rfam's summary of the family: Transfer RNA (tRNA) molecules are approximately 80 nucleotides in length. Their secondary structure includes four short double-helical elements and three loops (D, anti-codon, and T loops). Further hydrogen bonds mediate the characteristic L-shaped molecular structure. tRNAs have two regions of fundamental functional importance: the anti-codon, which is responsible for specific mRNA codon recognition, and the 3' end, to which the tRNAs corresponding amino acid is attached (by aminoacyl-tRNA synthetases). tRNAs cope with the degeneracy of the genetic code in two manners: having more than one tRNA (with a specific anti-codon) for a particular amino acid; and 'wobble' base-pairing, i.e. permitting non-standard base-pairing at the 3rd anti-codon position. The record is from Rfam by way of RNAcentral. Lineage: Eukaryota; Metazoa; Chordata; Mammalia; Rodentia; Sciuridae.